Molecule: ribosomal RNA, 251 nt
Filed under: uncultured bacterium
Lineage: Bacteria
Description: partial 16S ribosomal RNA
Rfam family: Bacterial small subunit ribosomal RNA
Source: RNAcentral
CGGGUGAGUAACGCGUGGAAAACCUGCCGUAUACUGGGGGAUAACACUUAGAAAUAGGUGCUAAUACCGCAUAAGCGCACAGCUUCGCAUGAAGUGGUGUGAAAAACUCUGGUGGUAUACGAUGGUUCCGCGUCUGAUUAGCUUGUUGGUGGGGUAAUGGCUCACCAAGGCGACGAUCAGUAGCCGGCCUGAGAGGGCGGACGGCCACACUGGGACUGAGACACGGCCCAGACUCCUACGGAAGGCAGCAG